AGAGUUUGAUCCNGGCUCAGAACGAACGCUGGCGGCGUGCCUAACACAUGCAAGUCGAACGAGAAAGCGGGCUUCGGUCCGUUAGUAGAGUGGCAGACGGGUGAGUAACACGUGGGUAACCUGUCCGGAGGCGGGGGAUAACUCUCCGAAAGGAGUGCUAAUACCGCAUAAUACUCGUUGGGUUUCGGCUCGACGAAUCAAAGCUUGCCUCUACAUGUAAGCAAGCACCACCGGAGGGGCCCGCGCCCCAUUAGCUUGUUGGUGAGGUAACGGCUCACCAAGGCUGCGAUGGGUAGCCGGCCUGAGAGGGCGAUCGGCCACACUGGAACUGAGACACGGUCCAGACUCCUACGGGAGGCAGCAGUGAGGAAUUUUGCGCAAUGGGGGAAACCCUGACGCAGCGACGCCGCGUGGAGGACGAAGGCCUUCGGGUCGUAAACUCCUGUCAAGUGGGACGAAUCCGGAGGGAUGAAUAAGCUCUUCGGUUGACGGUACCAUUGAAGGAAGCCCCGGCUAACUCCGUGCCAGCAGCCGCGGUAAUACGGGGGGGGCUAGCGUUGUUCGGAAUUAUUGGGCGUAAAGGGCGCGUAGGCGGCCUGGUAAGUCGGACGUGAAAUCCCGCGGCUCAACCGCGGAACUGCUUUCGAAACUGCCAGGCUUGAGUCCCGGAGAGGGUGGCGGAAUUCCCAGUGUAGCGGUGAAAUGCGUANAUAUUGGGAGGAACACCAGUGGCGAAGGCGGUCA
This 744-nucleotide ribosomal RNA is filed under the name uncultured sediment bacterium. Its description in RNAcentral is "bacterial SSU rRNA". It matches the Rfam family "Bacterial small subunit ribosomal RNA", at positions 8 to 727 of the family's 1533-position model. The record is from RNAcentral.